GUGGAUUUGAUACCCCGGUAGUCCUAGCUGUAAACGAUGUUAACUUGGCGUCGGAGGCUUCAAAACCUUCGGUGCCGCAGCCAACGCGAUAAGUUAACCGCCUGAGGACUACGGCCGCAAGGUUAAAACUCAAAGGAAUUGACGGGUCCCCGCACAAGCAGCGGAGCGUGUGGUUUAAUUCGAUGCUACACGAAGAACCUUACCAAGGCUUGACAUGCAAGUAGUAGGAAACCGAAAGGUGACCGAUCCUUCGGGAAGCUUGCACAGGUGCUGCACGGCUGUCGCCAACU
RNAcentral lists this ribosomal RNA (290 nucleotides) under uncultured bacterium. Its description in RNAcentral is "partial 16S ribosomal RNA". It matches the Rfam family "Bacterial small subunit ribosomal RNA", at positions 773 to 1060 of the family's 1533-position model. The record is from RNAcentral.